AGGGAGGUAUUAAGCAGGCAUCAAAUUUGUGUCCAGAUCCUGGAGAACCAGAAAAUGGAAAACGGAUAGGCUCAGAUUUUAGCUUGGGAGCAACAGUACAGUUUUCUUGUGAUGAAGAUUACG
Nothoprocta perdicaria is the source of this 123-nucleotide long non-coding RNA. RefSeq lists it as uncharacterized. The transcript is spliced from 2 exons. The record is from RefSeq and is a predicted model, not a curated record. NCBI's taxonomy places the organism in Eukaryota, Metazoa, Chordata, Aves, Tinamiformes, Tinamidae.